Dicentrarchus labrax (European seabass) is the source of this 782-nucleotide long non-coding RNA. RefSeq lists it as uncharacterized. Lineage: Eukaryota; Metazoa; Chordata; Actinopteri; Moronidae. The transcript has 3 exons. The record is from RefSeq and is a predicted model, not a curated record.
AAUGACGUCAAUGUUGGUGUCGAGUAACCAAAGGUCAAAAUAAAGACAAGUGAAUGAAAACGGAAGGAAACUUAACAGGCUGUCCAGAACAGGACAGAACAUGUCCAACUCGACUCAGACUUCAAACUAAAACAUCGCAGUGGGUGUCCACCUACCGUCGUCAGGGAAUUCUCGUUUUAUUAGCGGUUUUUAGGAAAAUGCUGGACUACACAUACUAAUACCUUUGACACUGGGAUCUGGAUUCACAACAGGCAUCAUGGUCAGAUGGCCAUUUUACACAGUUUCCUGUCCUUACCGAGUUACACCUGCAGGAAGAAUCCCACACAGCUUUUAGCAAACUUGAUGGAAAUGUCAAAAUUUAAAAAAAAGAUAUGGAGCAAUUUUGAAAUACUUUGGAGGUCCAGUUCAAGGAGAGCCAGGGGGACCUUCAUCAGCUUCUGACCAGCAAGCAGCAAGACCAUCAGCAACUUAAGCACGGAAGCAGAAGUUUUGAGGAGGAGAACGUGAGACUGUGAUCAUACAGACCCUGAUCACAAAGUAGUGAUGUUGUACAGUUAUAUAUUGUUCAUUUUAAACUACAACUACAAUAUUUAACUACAUAACUAGUUUAUUUAUUUAUUUUUUGUUGACAAUAACAUGGAUGCUGGUCCAUUAUAUACUUAUUUAUUUUAGUAAGUUUAGUUAUUUAUUUUUCACUGUUUUGGAAUGGUGGGUUAAAGCUUUUUUAUGUUAUGCCACCUUGUUAUGCCACCUCAAAGUUUACAUUAAACAUUUUUCAAGAA